This is a non-coding RNA of Triticum urartu, 3543 nucleotides long. NCBI's taxonomy places the organism in Eukaryota, Viridiplantae, Streptophyta, Magnoliopsida, Poales, Poaceae. The record is from RefSeq and is a predicted model, not a curated record.
UGCUAAAUCCUCCGGUUGAUCGGAAAAAACUUGCACCUGAAAAAAAUCUACGACGGUUAACCUACGAAAAAAAAAUACCUACGCCCCGACCGCCGCCCGCGGGUCGCCCGCUCCCUCGUGCCCCUCCUCAAUCCCGAUCUGGAUCGAGGGGACGAGGAGCUCCUGCCUCCCCGACGGCCGGCCUCCUCCUCGCCCCGCCGCUGCGUCUGGCGCCGCCAUGGCCUCUGGAGCCAGGGAAGCCAUGGCCUGAGCUCGGCCUCGAGGUCCCCGCCGCCGUCUCCUGCAGCUUCUGCCCCGCCGCCUCACCGCCCGAGCUCGCCGUCGCCCCAACCUCGGCGCCGCACCGCCGCCAGCUCUGGUCGCCUCCACCUCCGCUCCAGGAAACCCUCGGUCGCCGGCUCGCUGGAGCACGACGGCAGACGAUGGAUGCCCUGGUUGUGUGCGACGGAUGCAGUUCUCACGUGCAAGCUAGGGUUGGAGCCGCCAGCUCUUCAUCCUGCCCGCCGGCGGCGACUCUUCCCGUCCCGCACUGCCGCCUCCCCGUUAUCACAGGUUCAUCUGGUCCUUUACCCCUCACAUAAUAACUGUGAAACUUAAUGAGGUAUUUCUGAAAAAUGUUCCCUCCCCUCUGAUGUCUAUUUGGUUACACAAUUUUAUGCUUGUGUGGUCUGGCUGUUCCUAAGUGCUUUCAGACAUUAUUAUUUGUGUGAUCAGCAUUGAGUAGAUUGCCUGCAGCAAGAUAACUUGAGUUUUUUUACUUAAGUAAACGAUAUGUAAAUAGCUCUAAGUUAACUGGACAUUUUGUCGCAUUGGCUUGAAUCUGCAUGUUGCAUCAUUUGUGCACAAUGAAAACUGUAUGAACCUGCAUUAGAUGGUGUAUUUGUAGGAAGGUUAUCCUUUCUUCAAGGACUGGAAGUUUCCUGGUAAGUGUUCCUUUUUCUGAAAAAUUCUGUGUUUGUUCGCUGUAAUAUUUUGUUUACAUAAGGUUUCUCUUUCCUUUUAUGGGCAUAAUGGGUGAGACAAUAAUAUUCAGAAAGUUGUUGUUUUAGGGAAACUGCUAACUCCAUAUGUCAGACCCAUAUCAUUGUUGAGCAUGCAUAGUGUUCCUAUGUCAUUUCUAUGAUGUAUUUGUUUCCUUUUAUAUCACAGUAGUCUUCAUUUUGGCCAUGUACCUUCAAACUGAACCAAAAAUGGUUUGUCUGAUGACAUGUUUGAGGAGAUUCUUGAUAUGAAACAGUGGAUAUGAGGGUGACCGUUUUUUUGCAAGUUUUGUCUGUGGAAUCUUUUUGCAGUUGAUAAGACAUGGGAUGGACUUACUUCCGAUCUGCAAUAUUUUCGGAAGCUGAAUUUUAUGUGUUGACAGAAGAUGAGUCACCCUGCAUCUUUGGUCCAAUCGUGAAACAGAGAUGGUCCUACACGUGCGCAAAGCAGCUUAUCGAGAGGCUUGUUUUUGCUGAAGGCGUAGAAAUGGCCUUGAAUUCACGAUUGUGAGACCUUUCAAUUGGAUUGGGCCAAGGAUGGACUUUAUUCCUGGUGUUGAUGGUCCUAGCGAGGGUGUUCCUCGGGUUUUGGCUUGCUUUAGCAACAAUCUCCUCCGCAGAGAGCCCCUGAAGCUUGUCGAUGGCGGCGAGUCCCAGAGAACUUUUGUUUUUCAUCAAGGAUGCCAUCGAAGCUGUUCUUUUGAUGAUUGAAAACCCUGCUCGAGCCAAUGGUCAUAUCUUCAAUGUUGGGAAUCCUGACAAUGAAGUCACUGUUAGGGAGUUGGCCGAAAUGAUGACAGAGGUCUACGCUAAGGUCUCAGGAGAGCCCCCGCAGGAGGAGCCUGUGAUCGACGUGAGCGCGAAAGAAUUCUACGGGGAAGGGUAUGACGACAGCGACAAGAGGAUCCCCGACAUGACCCUGAUCAACAAGCAGCUAGUUGCAAGGUGGAAGUCGUCGAUGUUGUUCAAUAGUAUGUUGCCCCUGGAGGGGAAGCCGUGCAUGUGACCAGUGAGGAGAAGCAGCGAGGGCUCCAGUUGUGAGAGGCUGAAGCUCGGGGACGACGACGUCAUGCACAAGAGGGCAUACAGGAGGCUGUUCUCUGAACAUCCUUCCGGAGGAAUUAUGACGAUCCAAAAGAGGUUGUAGCAGUUAUACUGGGCAGUAGCACUGGGACUCAUAUUUUCCCUCCUACAAGCAAAAGAGGUUCCUGUUGGAAAGGCUUAUUAAAUCAACUUUCUUAAUCGUCACAUUCAUCGCACAUACCUUGGCAAGGGAAUCAAGUUCACUUAUGGAUCUGCUGAUGUAAUUCUUCUCAGCUCGCAAAGACAUCAACCAAGACGUGCUUAUGAAGUCACAAGCUCAUGUCACGACACAUCUCACUCUGAGUUGUCCUUGAACUUAAUAAAUGUGGUGUACCAAGGAGAAGAACUUGUUUAUGUUUGACAGUUCGUCAAAAUAAACAAGUAGUAUUGAUGGGUAAAAGGCACCUUAUUUACUGCAGUAGGUUCUCUUGUACCCUUUUUCAGUGGAGUUGUACUGGCAUCUUUGACUGAAGUUUCUUUCAACUGCAAGAAUCUUUUUACCGACAAGGAGGAUGAAGUCAAGGAUGAAGCCAAGGCAGUGGGUAUGGUCUCUAGGUCGAGACCAUGGCCCUUAGUGCAGUCGUUGCACACAGCCGUUUCGUCCAGUGCCUCAGACGGGCUUGGGACUUUCUGGCGUGCGUGAAGGAGUAGAUGGCAGGGGGGCGCGACCAACGUUCUAUGCACUGUUGGUGGGCUUGGGGCAUCACUAUGGGCUGUAGGUGGCGAGGAUGGAGAGGCAUGUAUAUCUAUAUUCAGCUAUCCACACUCUGUUUUGGUGGCAACCCAAUUGCGAUGUCCUCGUCGACUACCCUAGCGUCAGCCGCCGCCACCUCAAGUUAUGCUGCAAGGCACUAACACCGGAUCAGCAUCACUGUCAGGCCUCCCCUCCCCCUGUCUAAGUUUGUCCCAGGAUAAAGUACAGUAUACUCAACGGAUGGCAGGUUCAUAUAUGCCAUAUAGAGAUGGAGAACCGGGUGCCUGAGGGACAUCGAGCUUUCCCAUGUCUUCUCCCUUCAAUUCAACGUUGUUAAGAUGAACCCUCUGCAACAGACUCUUGGACUACAUCAAUCGUUUUGUCGACCAAGUAUCUGUACUGGAGCAUGAUCCCAGGAGUGGAUCACUGCAUGCUAUCCUGACAUGACUGGGUCCAGGCCAGAUCUGUGUCUACAGAAGCUCGAGCGGAAGAUUCCUCGCCAGCAUCGGAGCAAUUUAUUGGCCAGAUCGACACUAAAGCUCCUGCAUGGACGUGAAGGCAUGUCUUUAUUAAGUUCAAUCUUUGGAACUUGGCAUGCGACGAUGUGUAAAAAUAGAAAGAUGCUAGAAAAUCCCAUAAAAAAAAGAUGCUAGAAAAUUGUCUUUGGCCAAUUUCGUAUGUAGCUGUGAGCAUUGCUAAUUUCUGUCAACAUGAAUGAUAUUUGGACUAUUUAUAUAGCUACCAUGUGCUGAACAAAUUUUCUGAUUAAUGUAACACUCCUGAAUA